CGCAUGGGUGGGUCUUACAGGGGUGCGUCCCCAUUGGCUAAUGAGUGUUAAGGGAAAGUUUGAGUGACAGCUCAGCCUCAGUGCAGGUAAACUAACAUUAGAGACUCAGAGUCUGGUCUGGAGGACACACAAGCCACUCCACAGCGGAUUCCUACAAGAUUAAUAAAGUAGACCUGCAGGACCCGAGCAGAGCUACGAUGCUCUCCCAGGUAACGUUAGCUGACAUCAGGCAGCAGGCAGUCCAACCAAGAGGACGUGGUAGCAGCAGAGGGAGAGGAGCCUUCGGUCUCUCUGUGGAGGAAACACUAUGUGUGCUAAGGCUUCUAACAGCCAGGGUAUAGAC
Sander lucioperca (pikeperch) is the source of this 343-nucleotide long non-coding RNA. RefSeq lists it as uncharacterized. Lineage: Eukaryota; Metazoa; Chordata; Actinopteri; Perciformes; Percidae. The transcript has 3 exons. The record is from RefSeq and is a predicted model, not a curated record.